RNAcentral lists this ribosomal RNA (776 nucleotides) under uncultured Neocallimastigales. Its description in RNAcentral is "partial large subunit ribosomal RNA". It matches the Rfam family "Eukaryotic large subunit ribosomal RNA", at positions 23 to 648 of the family's 3401-position model. Lineage: Eukaryota; Fungi; Neocallimastigomycota; Neocallimastigomycetes; Neocallimastigales. The record is from RNAcentral.
GAGACUCUGUGCGCGUGCAUAUCAAUAAGCGGAGGAAAAGAAACUAACAAGGAUUCCCUUAGUAACGGCGAGUGAAGCGGGAAGAGCUCAAAUUUGAAAUCUUCAAGGUUCUGACCUUGACGAAUUGUAGUUUAUAAGAAGUGUUUUCGGUUAGUGGAGUGGCAAAAGUUCUUUGGAAUAGGACAUCAUAGAGGGUGAGAAUCCCGUAUUUGACCAUUAUUUCCAACUUUGUGAUACACUUUCAAAGAGUCGGAUUGUUUGGGAAUGCAGUCCAAAAUGGGUGGUAAAUUUCAUCUAAAGCUAAAUACUGGCGAGAGACCGAUAGCGAACAAGUACCGUGAGGGAAAGAUGAAAAGAACUUUGAAAAGAGAGUUAAACAGUACGUGAAAUUGUCAAAAGGGAAGCGUUUGACACCAGUGUUGUUUUUCCGAAAAUCAAUUACGAAUGUUUUGUUUUUAAGAAGUUAUGACUUCAUCGGCUUGCUUCUUUCUUUACGAAACUUUCUUAAUGCACUUUUCGGUUAACAAGUCAACAUCAAUUUCUUUUGUUGUAAAAGGGUACGAGGAAGGUGGCUUUCUUUUCGGAGAAAGUGUUUAUAGCCUUGUACCUCUGCAAUCGGAGAGAUUGAGGUCUGCAGCGUAGAUCCUUCGGGGUUAGAUACAUUUAUGCUAAGUUAUAGCUUUUCAUAGACAACUUGUUGACUAUGUUAAGCCUUGUAGCUUACUCGCUUAUGCUAUUUUACCUACGCUUAGGAUGUUGACGAUCAGCUGAGCGCG